This 495-nucleotide ribosomal RNA is filed under the name uncultured bacterium. RNAcentral describes it as "partial 16S ribosomal RNA". It matches the Rfam family "Bacterial small subunit ribosomal RNA", at positions 30 to 507 of the family's 1533-position model. The record is from RNAcentral.
CGAACGCUGGCGGCGUGCCUAAUACAUGCAAGUUGAGCGAUGAAGAUUGGUGCUUGCACCAAUUUGAAGAGCAGCGAACGGGUGAGUAACGCGUGGGGAAUCUGCCUUUGAGCGGGGGACAACAUUUGGAAACGAAUGCUAAUACCGCAUAACAACUUUAAACAUAAGUUUUAAGUUUGAAAGAUGCAAUUGCAUCACUCAAAGAUGAUCCCGCGUUGUAUUAGCUAGUUGGUGAGGUAAAGGCUCACCAAGGCGAUGAUACAUAGCCGACCUGAGAGGGUGAUCGGCCACAUUGGGACUGAGACACGGCCCAAACUCCUACGGGAGGCAGCAGUAGGGAAUCUUCGGCAAUAGACGAAAGUCUGACCGAGCAACGCCGCGUGAGUGAAGAAGGUUUUCGGAUCGUAAAACUCUGUUGGUAGAGAAGAACGUUGGUGAGAGUGGAAAGCUCAUCAAGUGACGGUAACUACCCAGAAAGGGACGGCUAACUACGUG